RNAcentral lists this long non-coding RNA (882 nucleotides) under Betta splendens (Siamese fighting fish). RNAcentral's name for it is "lncRNA (ENSBSLG00000016045.1)". Lineage: Eukaryota; Metazoa; Chordata; Actinopteri; Anabantiformes; Osphronemidae. The record is from RNAcentral.
CUCAUAUGUUCGAUCCUGCUCUUGGUUUUAGCAGCUUUCCGCGUAAAUGCAGAUCUAAUUCCAAUGCACACAAAGGCACAGCUGAUAUUUCGCAGUGGAUUCGUCACACUGACCAGGUGUGUCUCUGAAGAUUAGUCCAUUUGCCUGUUUCCUCACUUUGACAAGAGGUGGUCAAGGUUUCCUCACUACAUUUGUCCUACAUGCAUUUUUGCGUUGCCUGGUUGUUUGCUAACCAGGAGAAAAUCCCCUCCUGUGAUCAUAUAUAAGGUGGAACCUGACAGCACGACUCCGCUCCACCCACCUCAACUGAGACUCUCGGCUGACGUUUCCUACGCUGUAUUUGACUGUAAGUAAUUCAAGUCUUUAUGCAUUUUCUGGGAGUUCAUGAGAGCCAGUCUCCAUCACAGUCUUUGCUCCUACAGGUGAAAGCAUGCUGAAGGUAGCGUUUGUGCUCGGGUGCAUCCUGUGCCUUGCUUUGGCCAAUCCUGUAAGUGUGAAAUGCGCAACAUCAGUGUGCUUGUACUUGUUAUUCAGAAGCAACACUAACAGCACAACUUCACUACUUUUGCCACAGAUUGAUGAUAAGUCGCCAAAACGGGUUGCACGCUCAGGUGAACGCUAUGGCUUUAGGGGUGGUUUCAUGCCGUACAUGUAUUACCCUUCUUAUCCCCGUCCUCAAAGCAAUCCUUGGUUGUCCCUCCUGCUGGCCCAGCUUUUGAUACCACCUGCUGCCACUACAACCGUGGCCACAACUACGACAACCACUGCUAAGCCCUAAGAUGAUCAUUAUCCCUCAUGAAAACUAGAUUGAGCUGUUUUCAAUGUGUGGAUCACAAAAUCAAAUGAAUCAUGUUGACUACAGUAAAUAAACAUGAAUGUGAC